Coccinella septempunctata (seven-spotted ladybird) is the source of this 1820-nucleotide long non-coding RNA. RefSeq lists it as uncharacterized. The transcript is spliced from 3 exons. The record is from RefSeq and is a predicted model, not a curated record. Lineage: Eukaryota; Metazoa; Arthropoda; Insecta; Coleoptera; Coccinellidae.
AAAUUCAGCGAAAUCACAGUAAGUAUUUGUGUAAUAUAUUACAACGCAUCAUAUAUAUUUAUAACUCUACAAAAUUUAAGUAUAUUCUUUAUUUCAGGUUCCCCACAUAAAUUCUCCUUCAAAGUCGAUCUGAUGUUGCAGUUUUCUCUCAUAGCAGUGUACGCUGGACAUUCACAUAUAAGGUGAGGAAUUGUUAACGGAUCGUUACACCAUUCACACAAUGGUUGGUUCUCACGUUUCAGUAUAUGUCCAUGUGUGAUCUGAGUGUGACCUAUACGAAGACGAUGUAGUUUGGUUGUAUCACGUCUGUGGAGCUUGACAACAGGGUACCAUUGGAGACGAUCAUGUAUCAUCUUUUCUAAAAGUUUUCCUAGACAGCAGGUUAGGCUCACGGGUCUGUAGCUUGAUGGAGUUGAGGAUUCCUUUCCUGGUUUCAAGAUGGGAACAAUUAUCGCUUCUUUCCAUUCAUCAGGGUGUUAUGUUUUUCAGCAUUUCAUUGGAGAUCUCAUCUAUUCCAGGAGCACUCUGUUUCAAAGCAUGUAAGGCCUCUUGCAGUUCUGCCAUAGUGAAUGGUUGGUUGUAUUCAAAUUCUUGUUCUGUGUGAAAAUCAAGGUUCAACUCCCUCUCCAGCUUCUUUUCAGCAAAUAAGCUGUUGUAGUUACUUGAGCUACUCACAUCUUUGUAAUGGUUUGCGAAAAUAUCUGCUAUUUCCGUCGGCUCUUCUAUAAUAUUCCCUCCUACUUUCAGGCAUGUUAUUGGAUUUGGGUUAUGUUUCCCUGAAAUUGAUUUUAUCUUUUUCCAAACAUUUCCUAGACUCUCAUCAGUUGUUAUGGAUGAUAUAUAUUGAUUCCAGCUUUGUCGUUUGGAUUCGAGGAUUUUUCUUUUGGCCUCGGCUCGAGCUUUUUUAAAUGCUACCAAGUUUUCAGUUGUAGGGUGUUUUUUGAAGCGAUUUAAGGCUGUCUUCUUUUUUUUAAUUAAAGAGCUCACCUCGUGGUUCCACCACGGCACUACAUAUUUCAACGGUAUAGAACUGGUCUUUGGGAUACUUCUAUCAGCUGCAUGUUUCAGUGACUCUGUUACAGAUUUAACACUUAUGUUCUCAGGAGGGAUCAACUCAGUCUUAAAUUUCUGCCAAUUGGCUUUUCUAUUGAGCCAUCGUCUUGGGGCGUAAUGAAUUCUCCUCAAUUCCUCAGUUUCAACAAUUAUUGGAAAGUGAUCACUAUUGUGCAGAUCGUCGUCUACGGUCCAUAGUAGUUUGGUGGCUAGAAUAUUUGAUACAACUGUGAGAUCUAUUGCUGAGAACGUGUUACUGAUAGUAUUCAUGUGCGUAUGUGAACCGGUAUUUAAUAGGGUUAGAUCGUCCCUUUCAAGCCAAUUUUCAAUCAGUCUUCCUCUUCGGUCGGUUUUUAUUGAUCCCCAUAACAAAUUAUGUGCAUUGAAGUCGCCCAUUAAUAUGAUUGGGGAAGGAAGUUGUUCAAUUAUAUCAUCGAUUUCCCUAGUAGACCAAUUCCCGUCUGGUAAAUAUAUGCUACACAGUGUUGUCUUUGAUGGAAAUUCAACUUCAACAGCGACAGCCUGCAGUGACGUGGUGAGCUGUAUCUCUUUAUAAUGUACAUCAUAUCUCAAUAAUAUAGCCACGCCACCAGAUGCUAUCUCGUUCAGCGUAUGAUCUCUUCUCACAAUAUUGUAUUUUUUUAAAGAGUAUGGUUGAUUAGGUUUCAGGUGAGUUUCUUGUAGACAUAUGCAGAUUGGAUCAUAUUGUUGAAUUAAUAGCUUGAUAUCACAGUAUCUUCUAAUACAUCCUCUACAGUUCCAUUGGA